This 195-nucleotide ribosomal RNA is filed under the name Triticum aestivum (bread wheat). RNAcentral's name for it is "partial small subunit ribosomal RNA". The record is from RNAcentral. Lineage: Eukaryota; Viridiplantae; Streptophyta; Magnoliopsida; Poales; Poaceae.
AUGGCUGCAGCUGAAGGAGCGGCUGUAGCUGUUAAUGAAGAGAGGCACUUUGCAUUUGUCCACCAGAAGUAUAGAUCGGUAAAGUACAGAGAAGCUUCAGAGCAUGGUAGCAUUGUUUAUGAGAAGAAUCCACGACGGACUGAUAACCUACUUCUUCUUGGAGUUAUCUACUGUCAGUUUAAGACUUGGUGCUAG